UACGGGGGGGGCAAGCGUUGUUCGGAAUUACUGGGCGUAAAGGGCUCGUAGGUGGCCGACUAAGUCAGACGUGAAAUCCCUCAGCUUAACUGGGGAACUGCGUCUGAUACUGGAUGGCUUGAGUUUGGGAGAGGGAUGCGGAAUUCCAGGUGUAGCGGUGAAAUGCGUAGAUAUCUGGAGGAACACCGGUGGCGAAGGCGGCAUCCUGGACCAACACUGACACUGAUGAGCGAAAGCCAGGGGAGCAAACGGG
Molecule: ribosomal RNA, 253 nt
Filed under: uncultured bacterium
Lineage: Bacteria
Description: partial 16S ribosomal RNA
Rfam family: Bacterial small subunit ribosomal RNA
Source: RNAcentral